This is a small nuclear RNA of Vulpes vulpes (red fox), 107 nucleotides long. The record is from Ensembl. Lineage: Eukaryota; Metazoa; Chordata; Mammalia; Carnivora; Canidae.
GUGCUUGCUUUGGCAGCACAUAUACUAAAAUUGGAAUGAUACAGAGAAGAUUAUCCAGGCUCCUGCACAAGGAUGACACGCAAAUUUGUGAAAUGUUCUAUAUUAAA